CCGAACCCCACACUCCAAACCUUAUCCCCUUUCUCCAGAUCCACCACACACACCGCCGCCCUAGAUGCCCUCUCCGGCCGGCGGCGGCGCUACGCGUCCAGCUAGGCUGCCACCACUCUGUUCCCCUCUUCCUCCCACCCCUCCAUCUUCGUCCCAGAUGGCUGCUAUUUUCCCACGCAGAGGUGGGUUUGUGCCGGCGCCGCCAUCACACAGUUGCCAACGGCGGCGCUUUUUGUUCAUACGCAAGCACCCGGUGAUGCUACCUCUCACCUCCCUCGCAUGGCUCCACCACCCCAACCCAGGCUAGCUAGAUCUAUGUGGGACAAUGUCCCUUUGCUCCCAGUGGUCAGGUCCAAGGCACCCAGCCCCUGCUUCCUCUGCUUCCGGUGAUUAGGAGCUUGGUGGUAGGUGCCCCCAUCUCUCCCCACUUCAGGAGAACGAGCUAGCCAUCCAUUGCAGAAACAAUACCAUAAGUUCUCUCUCUCUCUUUCUCUCUCUCUCUCUCUCUCUCUGUGUGUGUGUGUGUGUGUGUGCGCGCGCGUGUGUGUGUUCAGAUUCCAACUCCCACUGGUAGACCAUGUGUGUGUGUGUGUGUUUUCAGAUUCCAACUCCCACCGGUGGACCAUGUGUGUGUGUGGGUGUUCAGAUUCCAACUCCCACCGGUAGACCAUAUUUUUUUACUUGGUUGUAAGUUUAAUCUCUCCCAAAAAAAUUGUGCUGCUUUGCCUCAUGGAGGCAGAAGUCCUUAAAGUAGUAAAGUUCAAUCCCGAACAUUCAAUCACUAUUAUUGUUUGUAUUCUAGGGUUGUUAGCAGAUUGAAUUUCAAAAUUAUUUUUUUUGUAGGGGAAAUGAAUCUUUAGUAAGUUUGGGCAAAAAGGCCACCAUAUGAUGUCCAUAGUCAUAUGCAUGCAUCACAUCGACUUGAUCCUACUACUAUUUACUCUCUCAAGAACCUCUGUGAGUAUGUAUGUUUGAUAGCAAGCAAUGUUAGAUGCCCUCACUGUUUACUUCUGAUUGGCAUAUAGGACUAUGUGCUUGUCUAGUAAACGCAUCUCCAGUUUUCUAUUAAUUUUUUGGUACAAACGAAAUACAUGUAGCACUUUGUAAAUAUUUCCUUGUGAAAAUAUCAUACUAUAACAUUAUCUUCUAUUUAGGUCCCAGAAGUGUUAAUUGGUUUCAACUUUGAAAGACCACAUGAAUUCUUCUAUGGGGCGUCUGAAAGGGGAAUCUUCGUCAUUCGUCACCAAGCUAGUCAAUCUCCUUUCAGGAAGAAUAGUACAAAAAACUCUAUGCUUAGCACACAUCUGCUAUGGAAAGUACAUCAUCGUUAAGCCUAGGAAACAAACCAAAGGACUACACUCACAAGGAACCACGAAGCCAACGAUUGACGUCAACUAGAUGUUUCAGAUUUCAUUUUGUACAACUGAUGUCUCAUGCUUGCAUCUUUUACCUGUCCUUUUGUGAAUGGCUCGGUGGUUAUGUUUAAAAUAGACUGAAGUGUAUGUAUGUGACAAAUAGUUAAUGGAAUAAAAAAAUUGUUUGGUGCA
Molecule: long non-coding RNA, 1547 nt
Organism: Triticum dicoccoides
Lineage: Eukaryota; Viridiplantae; Streptophyta; Magnoliopsida; Poales; Poaceae
Exons: 3
Source: RefSeq, a predicted model, not a curated record